Molecule: ribosomal RNA, 775 nt
Filed under: uncultured bacterium
Lineage: Bacteria
Description: bacterial SSU rRNA
Rfam family: Bacterial small subunit ribosomal RNA
Source: RNAcentral
AGAGUUUGAUCCUGGCUCAGAAUCAACGCUGGCGGCGUGCCUCAGACAUGCAAGUCGAACGAUUAAACUCUUCUUCGGAAGAGAUAUAAAGUGGCGCACGGGUGAGUAACACGUAGGUAAUUUACCUCUGGGUGGGGAAUAACUUGUGGAAACGCAAGCUAAUACCGCAUGAUGCAGCGGCUCCUGAUGGAGACAGUUGUUAAAGCUUUAUGUGCCUGGAGAGAAGCCUGCGGCAGAUGAGGUAGUUGGUAAGGUAAUGGCUUACCAAGCCUGCGAUCUGUAUCCGGCCUGAGAGGGCGGUCGGACACACUGACACUGAAUAACGGGUCAGACUCCUACGGGAGGCAGCAGUCGGGAAUUUUGGGCAAUGGGCGCAAGCCUGACCCAGCAACGCCGCGUGAAGGAUGAAGUAUUUCGGUAUGUAAACUUCGGAAGAAUGGGAAGAAUAAAUGACGGUACCAUUUUUAAGCCCCGGCUAACUCCGUGCCAGCAGCCGCGGUAAUACGGGGGGGGCAAGCGUUGUUCGGAUUUACUGGGCGUAAAGGGCGCGUAGGCGGUUAGGCAAGUCACUUGUGAAAUCUCCGGGCUUAACUCGGAACUGCCAAGUGAUACUGCCAAACUAGAGUGCAGAAGGGGCAAUCGGAAUUCUUGGUGUAGCGGUGAAAUGCGUAGAUAUCAAGAGGAACACCUGAGGCGAAGGCGGAUUGCUGGGCUGACACUGACGCUGAGGCGCGAAAGCUAGGGUAGCAAACGGGAUUAGAUACCCUAGUAGUCC